AAAAUAAAUAAAAGUAGUGCGGUGCUGGAAAGUAAAUAAAAAUAGUGUGGUGCAAGAAAUAAAGGAAAGUAGUGCAGUGCGAGAAAUAAACAAAGUAAAGUGCGAGUGCGGGAAAGUAAACAAAAUAAAGACAGUGCGGGAAAGUAAACAAAAUAAAGGCAGUGCGGGAAAAUAAAGUAGAUAAAGGUAAAGCAAUAAAACAUGUUCCAAUUGGAGGGUCGAAUAAAGUGCGU
RNAcentral lists this long non-coding RNA (233 nucleotides) under Lathyrus oleraceus (garden pea). RNAcentral describes it as "Pisum sativum (pea) long non-coding RNA (PSAT_LNC039977)". The record is from RNAcentral. Lineage: Eukaryota; Viridiplantae; Streptophyta; Magnoliopsida; Fabales; Fabaceae.